GUACUUGCUUUGGCACACAUAUACUAAAAUUGGAGUGAUACAGAGAAGAUUAGCAUGAGGCCCCUGCACGAGGAUGACAUACAAAUUCGUGAAGCAUUCCAUAUUUUU
This 108-nucleotide small nuclear RNA is filed under the name Dasypus novemcinctus (nine-banded armadillo). Lineage: Eukaryota; Metazoa; Chordata; Mammalia; Cingulata; Dasypodidae. The record is from RNAcentral.